Molecule: ribosomal RNA, 468 nt
Filed under: uncultured bacterium
Lineage: Bacteria
Description: partial 16S ribosomal RNA
Rfam family: Bacterial small subunit ribosomal RNA
Source: RNAcentral
GACGAACGCUGGCGGCGUGCUUAACACAUGCAAGUCGAACGGAAAGGCCCUGCUUUUGUGGGGUGCUCGAGUGGCGAACGGGUGAGUAACACGUGAGUAACCUGCCCUUGACUUUGGGAUAACUUCAGGAAACUGGGGCUAAUACCGGAUAGGAGCUCCUGCUGCAUGGUGGGGGUUGGAAAGUUUCGGCGGUUGGGGAUGGACUCGCGGCUUAUCAGCUUGUUGGUGGGGUAGUGGCUUACCAAGGCUUUGACGGGUAGCCGGCCUGAGAGGGUGACCGGCAAAAUUGGGACUGAGAUACGGCCCAGACUCCUACGGGAGGCAGCAGUGGGGAAUAGUGCACAAUGGGCGGAAGCCUGAUGCAGCAACGCCGCGUGCGGGAUGACGGCCGUCGGGUUGUAAACCGCUUGCGCCUGUGACGAAGCGUGAGGGACGGUAAUGGGUAAAGAAGCACCGGCUAACUACGUG